RNAcentral lists this ribosomal RNA (609 nucleotides) under Salinispora sp. SPM3-3. Its description in RNAcentral is "bacterial SSU rRNA". It matches the Rfam family "Bacterial small subunit ribosomal RNA", at positions 87 to 710 of the family's 1533-position model. The record is from RNAcentral. Lineage: Bacteria; Bacillati; Actinomycetota; Actinomycetes; Micromonosporales; Micromonosporaceae.
GUACUCGAGCGGCGAACGGGUGAGUAACACGUGAGUAACCUGCCCCAGGCUUUGGGAUAACCCCGGGAAACCGGGGCUAAUACCGGAUAUGACCAUCUGUCGCAUGGUGGGUGGUGGAAAGAUUUUUUGGCUUGGGAUGGGCUCGCGGCCUAUCAGCUUGUUGGUGGGGUGAUGGCCUACCAAGGCGGCGACGGGUAGCCGGCCUGAGAGGGCGACCGGCCACACUGGGACUGAGACACGGCCCAGACUCCUACGGGAGGCAGCAGUGGGGAAUCUUGCACAAUGGGCGGAAGCCUGAUGCAGCGACGCCGCGUGAGGGAUGACGGCCUUCGGGUUGUAAACCUCUUUCAGCAGGGACGAAGCGUUUGUGACGGUACCUGCAGAAGAAGCGCCGGCCAACUACGUGCCAGCAGCCGCGGUAAGACGUAGGGCGCAAGCGUUGUCCGGAUUUAUUGGGCGUAAAGAGCUCGUAGGCGGCUUGUCGCGUCGACUGUGAAAACCCGUGGCUCAACUGCGGGCUUGCAGUCGAUACGGGCAGGCUAGAGUUCGGUAGGGGAGACUGGAAUUCCUGGUGUAGCGGUGAAAUGCGCAGAUAUCAGGAGGAACACC